GUGAGGAAUUUUCCGCAAUGGGCGAAAGCCUGACGGAGCAAUGCCGCGUGAAGGAUGAAGGCCUAUGGGUUGUAAACUUCUUUUCUCAGAAAAGAAUUAUGACGGUAUCUGAGGAAUAAGCAUCGGCUAACUCUGUGCCAGCAGCCGCGGUAAGACAGAGGAUGCAAGCGUUAUCCGGAAUGAUUGGGCGUAAAGCGUCUGUAGGUUGUUUAAAAAGUAUUCUGUCAAAGAUUAGGGCUUAACCCUAGAUAGGCAGAAUAAACUUUUAAGCUAGAGUUUGGUAGAGGCAGAGGGAAUUCCCGGUGGAGCGGUGAAAUGCGGAGAUAUCAGGAGGAACACCAAAGGCGAAGGCACUCUGCUGGGCCAAUACUAACACUGAGAGACGAAAGCGAGGGGAGCAAAUGGGAUUAGAAACCCGUGUAGUCC
RNAcentral lists this ribosomal RNA (426 nucleotides) under uncultured bacterium. RNAcentral's name for it is "partial 16S ribosomal RNA". It matches the Rfam family "Bacterial small subunit ribosomal RNA", at positions 354 to 796 of the family's 1533-position model. The record is from RNAcentral.